CUGAACUGUAAAGGCUCAGAGGGCAUUUUUUCCUUGCAAAUUUGCCUUUGGAAUUUCUCUUUCUUUUCUGUUAGGAAAGUACUAUUGUUUGACCGUAGGGCCAAUCUCAUGUAGUUUAGAUUCCCCAUACUUGCAGAAUUAGAGUUUUUUUCUUCAUUAUGGGAUGCUUUUUGGUGCUUUCAAAUGGAAAAAGCAGAGUUGUUCCAGGCACUGACAGAAAUCUGUGCUGUUGAUUUUUGUUUCCUUCCUGGACUUCCCAAAGGAAAUACAAAAGAAGAUAUUGAUAUUAAUCUGUUAGAUCACAAAAAACCAAUGUACAACUAAAUGAACCUAGAUUAAUUUUUUCAAAGCCCAAACAAAAGAAAGAUUAACAGUACAUAGUUCUUUUUUAGACAAGACUGACUUGCACAGCCUGUCCCCUGAGUCACUAGGCUUCCCACCUCAAUUAGUCUGCAUUUGCUCAUUUUCCCACUCUAACAUUUCUUAGUAGUAACCAGCUUCUAUCUUCUCUUUGCUUUACAUGGUCACUCUUCCUUUUGUGAUCAUCCCCCAAAUAUCUCUUAUCUCAGUUGGCACUCACUGCUGUCAUUUAUCCUCUCUAAUCACCUGAACUCCUAGGUGUUGGGUGAACCUGUCCCUUAGGCUACCGUAGCUUGCAGAGACUUGGCUUUCAGCCUUAAGGUUCAACAUGCUGCUGGAGUUCCUUCCAUUGCCUCCAUCUUCCAGGCAGCUGGAAGUGGAAGGAACAAGACAUCUCACCACCAAGCCAGCUUUCUCACACAAAGAAUGCAGAGGCAACUGACCAGACACGUAACUGCGUACCAGAGAGAGGGAAAAGCAGAAUGAGGCACAAACAAAUGCAUUUCAGAGAAUGCAGCAUUAUUCACAAUAGCAAGAUGUGGGAACAACUCAAGUGUUAAUCAACAGAUGAGUGGAUAAAGAAAAUGUGCUAUACAUGUACAGUGUGAUAUUAUUCAGCUUUACAAAGGAAGGAAAUCCUGCCAUUUAUGGACAAUGUGGAUGAACCUGGAGGACAUUAUGCUAAGCAAAAUAAGCCAGUACCAAAGGCAAGUUCAAACUCAGAAGGCGAAAGUCCAGCGGAAAGUACCGGAACUGAGGGAAAACUAUUUGCCUAACCACCCACACCACUGAAUGCUUUCUUGGAAUCUGCUGUGUGUUUAAGAUGAUAUCCUACCCACACACAUGUAACCUUUACCUUUUUGCAAACCAAAUCUGAUUCUACAAGGAAAGCACAAAAAUAAAAAUAUUUUUCUCUCAAAUUAUAUCAGAUUUGUUUCUGCUCAAAUUAUCUCAGACUAGUUUUAAAAAUUGUAAACUCUCCCAUAUCAAGCAUCUAACUAUCCACUGAAUUUGGCUAUGCAACUUCAGUUUUUAGAGAAGGUGGUAAAGUCUCUAUUUUUAAGGGGGAAAAAUUAAGGGUUACUAAGAAAUAUAGAAAUAAAACUGGAUUUUUUUUUUUUGCUUUGUUUUACAGUGUUUCUGGAACUUUCUUUCUUUUCAUUCCUCAGUAGCUUUCCGGACUCUAUCCUGAACUGAAUCUUCUUUUGUGAAAGUUACCUUUGACCUGUGACUUGACUAAGCAUGGGCUUUUUACAGUACGUGGUGCUUGAUCAGUCUAUGAAUUCAACCCAAUUAACAUUUUCUCUGUAGAAAUUGCUGCCAUUGGCUCCCAUGACAUCAUGCUUGUGUCCCUCUUUUAGUCUUUCUGACAACUUUUACCCAGUCUUAUUACUCCCUCUUUUUACUUCACGUAUUGUUUAAUUAUUGCUUCUUCCAUGGGGUUCCAUUCCAAACUCUCUUCUUUUUCGUUUCUACAUACUUUCCCUGGAAAAAUUCACUAAGCCAUGAAUAAAAGUAUCAAAUGGACAUUCAUGAAUCCAGGCUUUCAGUCUCCAGCCCCAUCUACCUGCCUGCCCUGACAAUACAAACACUUGAAUGAUUAUUACAUAAAUAAAUAUAUUUCUAACUUCUGCCACUGUUUUCCAAAACCACAGAAGCCAUCUUUAUUUUGGUUGGCCAUUUUAUCCUUGGCAAUAAGCACAGUCCCUGGCACAUGGAAGGCUCUCAAAAAAUCAUCUUAGGUGUUGAAGGAGUGACCUCUUUUUGGCAUCUCCUGAUGCCCUCUAACUUUAAUCUGUCACUAUAUCUUUUUGCUUCUAUCAACUCACAUAUAUUUCAAAUCUGCUUUUUCACCAUCAUCCCCAAUGACAUUCUUUGGAGGAGACAGUAUCUCCUGCCUACCAUCAGCCUUGACUCCAUCCACCAAACUAUCAGUGUUCUUACUUUUUAGACACAAGUAUGGUAGAUGUACUCUCCUGUUCUUGAAUAUUUAAUGGAUUCCAAAUUCUUCUAGUAACAAAUCUAAAUGCCUUAGCCCAUUCUUCAGGGUUCUCAAACCCUAACCUGACUCUAACCUCUCUUUCCAAUCCCAUCUUUUCAAUAUAUUCAUCCUGUAAUUCAGUAACUGCAGAUGUCUCAAGUGCCCUGAACACUCCGUAUUCUUUUUUUCCUAUGUUGGUUUCCUCUGCUCUUUUGAACUUCUUUGUCAUCUGUGUCUUGAACUCUAACACCUAUGUGCAUCUUAUACUUUUAACUUAUAAAAUCCUAUUUUUUGACAGAUUGUUACCCAGUAGUCCUUGGGUGCAACUGAUGAAUGAUGAAUAGGGUCAUAACAUGAAUGUAAACUCACUUUCUCUGACUUUAGACUCCGUCGUCUUUUGUGCUAAGGGGACCGUGGUUCCAGUUCCCAGCAUAUACUCACACUUUGCUCUUAGUCAUUUUUCAUUGCCAUCCCUCUCUGCUGACUGCAUUCAGGUCACCUUUUCUGUAUCACUGUCUUGACUCUGCUCAAACCAUGAUCAUAAAGAGAUUUGUGGUAAAUAUCCUUUUAUCACAUGCAUUGAUCUUAUUAGUGAGUCAGAAACCAGGGUGACCUCAUUUUCUUGUUUUUCUACUGUACCUUUAGUUAUAGAGUGCAUUUCUUGAUUCAUUUUUAGUAUAUCUCUCCACUCUUGAAAAAAUUGUCACAGGUCUUUGAGAGGCUGAGUUGGAAGACAGCUUACAUAGGUAGCUAUCUUUCACAUAAAAAAUCAAGUCUUUUCAUUUCUCCUAGCCAAGCUCCUUGGUCUGGGUUUGUCACUCUGAGAGUCCUACUUGAGGAUUAAGGCUGUGGGAGCCAGCUGUGAGUUCCAUCUCCAAACAUCGUUUUCCCAUGGGUCUCACUGAAUCCUCAGCCCAAAAAGCAUUUCUAGUAGGCUUCUUAGAUAACUACCUUAUUAAAAUGAUUCACAAACUUAAGCCAAGAAGUAUAAAGCCUAUAUAGAAAAGGUAUCUCAAAAUUAAUAUACUACUAGGAAGGCUGAAGUGGGAGGACCACUUGAGGCCAGGAGUUCAAGGCUGCAGUACGUUAUGAUCAUGCAUGUGAAUAGCCACUGCACUCCAGGCUGGACAACGUAGCAAGAUCUUGUUGCUAACAUAAUAAUAAUAAUAACAACUUAUAAGUGACCCAAGAAUGAUUAGCUGCUGUAGUUUUAAAAAUGAAUUAUAUGUAUUCUCUGACAUUGUUUGAUAAAAAAGUAUUAAUGGUCCCACAGCAUCCUACAAUGAUAGAUGAUUCGUGAGGAGUUUAUGUCAGAUUAAUUAACUAGACAAUUUAUAAAUGUGGCUACUAGCAAGGCAGAUUCUGGAUAUCUUGAAGGACCAGGGGAAGAAAAAGAGAUUUUCCCAUAUUCAGUGAGGUCAUUUCUGCAAUUAGUGGUUUGGAGUGGGUCCCCUUAGCAGAGUUUAGCUGGAUGGAAUUUGAACUCACUCUAAUAUAAUAUGAUGGGGUAAAAUGUUUUGAUCAUCUGCCAUUUAUUGACAUACUAAUCUAUUAUCUAUUUAGGCUUUCUUCAAUUCAUUUCUAAGUAGCAAAAAGGAAAACAUCUGUAGGUUCAUGGUGAUUAUAAUACUGAAAGAAAACCUUUUGCUCAGAAGUAGAGCUUUCCUUUAGGCUGAACCCCAAGAAAAAUGUUUUAUUUGCAUCUUUAUUAUAAAGAAAAAAAGGCAUAAUAUAUUGGAUAACUAUAGUGUACAUAUAAGGUGCACAGUCUACAACUUUCCUCUAAGAAGUAUAAAUGUAGUAAUAGUCAUAUGGCUGUGUUUAUCGUGUUUUUAAGGUAAUCAUGCAAUUCAAUUGAGUAAAACUCUAUAAACAGCAGAAAUACAGUCUAUGUGUGUGGUUCUGAUGAAUUAGCAAGAAGACUUAAGAUUUCUCAAAUUCAUAAAAGAGGUAAGAUUGUCAAAGAUGUUUAGGGAAUGUGUUUACAUAAAUGUUACAUUGAAAACAUAGGCUCUUUGAGGAUUAAAUGCUUCUAUAAGCGAAUUUAGCAAAAGAAUACCCUUAAUUGCAUAAAGAUUACUGGGGACAAUAAAAAUACAUACACAUGUCAUGCUAUUAUGAAAUCACAGGUGAUCUGUGGAUAAUUUACACUUGGUUAAACCCCAAUAGAUUUUUUUCUCUGUAUCAUGUUGAUUCAUUAUUUAUAUUAGAUUGGUUAUCUAUAUUAAUGAAGUUAAACAAAGGGGCCAAAUUUGUCUUUGCAAGACAUUUUUACAUUCUAACUAACCUUCAAGAUCCAACUCAGGUACCAUCACUUCCUAAAUUUUCUUUCCCCUCUUUGUUUAUAUGUAUAGUCUAUUUUGCACAGCAUACCUAACUAUAAUUUUAUGCUCCAAUUGUUUGAAUCACGUGCACAGUUCUAGUGUAGUUGAAAAUUAUCCUAAUAUAAUACAGUUCAAUAAUAUGAGACUUUUAACAUAUGCCUUACAUAAAGAUGGAGUUUAAAGCCAAGACUCAUGUACUCUAUCUGGAAAUCUAGGCAGCACAAAUUCACUCAAGACUGAAUGAGCGUUACAGAAUCAGGUCAAGGUGGUAGAGUUUUGGAGACAUUGAAUGUUGUUGUUUCAGCACUGCUCAAAAAAGCACUGCAUGAAAAUAUAUCUGUAACUCCGUACAAAAUCAUGUCCAUUGAAACUUUUCACUGUUGCAGGGAUAUAGGUUUUAUCUAACAUUAUUCUAUUAUUGCUUUUUACUACAGUGCAUAAACAGAGUAUAACUCUGCUUGAAUUUUGAAUUUUCUACUAGUAUAUAUUUCAUAUGAUUUAUUAGUUAUUCAAAAUAUUCUGCUAUAUUUUAAUUGUGAAUCUUGAUACUUCUCAAUUUCCAUAGUCCAGAUUCAAUACACACAAUAUUCCAAUGGGUCAUCACUGCUUCCAUUAAGAUUCUCCAUCUCUGUCCUGGAAUUUACCCUAUCAUUGAAAUCAUGGUUAUGUGUAAUGAACAAGCUAACUGCUCUAGCGUGGAAACACAAAACCUUAUUUGUGAUAAUGAGAUUUGACUUGUCUUCUUCCUCUCACUUUUAAUAAUAUCAUAAUGUUGAUGCAUCUGAAUGUAAUUGGCAUAAACAGUCUUAAGAAAUGCUUUACUGCACCAGAAAACAUAGAUUAGAAUUUAAAUUAUUAUUGUUUUUCCAGACAUUGACUUUUGGGGCCAGGCCAAAUGGAUUUCUGGUUCUUGGAUUGUGCUAAUCAAUAUAACUGUAGCUGUAUGUUUUCAAGAUUAAUUUUAUGACCAUAUUUUCUUAUCUCAAUAGCAAGAACAUUUUUCAUUCUCUUGUCUAUUGGAAUGAGCAAAUUAUUUUUGUAGAACAUUAGAGGGUAAAAACUAUAAGAAGGCAAGUGAAAAAAUUCCCUUUCCCCUACUUUAUCUUUUGCCCUUCCUUUAUUCCUUUUCUUGUAGAAGAAGCAGGGGAAAGAGGAAAAUCCCAUUUUCCCUGCUUCUCCUAUGUGUAGAUAGUAGGAAAUUAAGUAAAAAAUAAAUGUUUUACUUGAGCUCUUAUUGAUUAUUUAUAUUAGAUGAAAAGAUAAGAAAUGGAUAAUGGGGGAGAUUAAUCUCUAAAAAAUAUUAAUUCACAAUAAGUUUGGCUAAAACAUCUUAACACAUAACCAACAACUGACCUGUAUUUGACCAAAGCUAUAUCCUUGUCAUAAAUACUCAGACACCCAUGGACAGUAUUUUUAUGUGGAAGUAUGCUAAUAAUUACUUAAGGUAGAGCCUCAUUUGGGAGGACAGGUACCUAAAGCCUUCAGUGUCUUGGGAAACCUCUGAGAUCAGUGGGCGGCAGCCCGCGGCUUGUCUCUGUUUGGUCUAGUGCUUAAGUGAACUUGCUAACUAAAGCCUUCCUUCCUCCUGUGUAAGUGAAUGAAAAACCUCUCUCAGUUGCUAUCCUGGCUAAGUGGGUGAAUCUGAUGUUUUUGGGUUGCAUCCACUGGGUCUGAAGUUAAAUGUUGUGGUUUACUACUUAUUAUCUGAAGAUCAGAGAUCUUCAACUUCAAACUACUAUGCAUUUUGAGUUAUUUGUAAAUUUCUAGAGAUUUUUGAGGGUGCCCAGCUGGAGUGACAUUUAUUCCUGGAUUUUAUCAUCUCAAAUACAGCACAGAGCCUUAUCUAUAAAUUAUUCCCAUAUUCUCCCUUUGUGGAUAUGUGUAAUGUCAUUUAUAGAAAUAAAUACUUCAUUAU
Molecule: long non-coding RNA, 6580 nt
Filed under: Homo sapiens (human)
Lineage: Eukaryota; Metazoa; Chordata; Mammalia; Primates; Hominidae
Description: HSALNT0119225
Source: RNAcentral